Molecule: ribosomal RNA, 269 nt
Filed under: Desulfofaba fastidiosa
Lineage: Bacteria; Pseudomonadati; Thermodesulfobacteriota; Desulfobacteria; Desulfobacterales; Desulfofabaceae
Description: partial 16S ribosomal RNA
Rfam family: Bacterial small subunit ribosomal RNA
Source: RNAcentral
GAAAGCUAUUGUUUGGGGAUGAGCCCGCGUACCAUUAGCUGGUUGGUGGGGUAACGGCCAAGGCGAUGAUGGUUAGCUAGAGGAUACUGGAACUGACACACGGUCCAGACUCCUACGGUUGAGGCAGCAGGAGGAAUUUUGCGCAAUGGGGGCAACCCUGACGCAGCAACGCCGCGUGAGUGAUGAAGGCUUUUGGGUCGUAAAGCUCUGUCAAGUGGCAGGUGGUUAAUACCCAUUACGGUACCACUGAAAGCACCGGCUAACUCCGU